This 274-nucleotide ribosomal RNA is filed under the name uncultured bacterium. RNAcentral's name for it is "partial 16S ribosomal RNA". It matches the Rfam family "Bacterial small subunit ribosomal RNA", at positions 523 to 796 of the family's 1533-position model. The record is from RNAcentral.
AUACGGAGGGUGCGAGCGUUAAUCGGAAUUACUGGGCGUAAAGCGUGCGUAGGCGGUUUGCUAAGUCAGAUGUGAAAGCCCCGGGCUUAACCUGGGAACUGCAUUUGAUACUGGCAGACUAGAGUAUGAUAGAGGGGGGUAGAAUUCCUGGUGUAGCGGUGAAAUGCGUAGAUAUCAGGAGGAAUACCAGUGGCGAAGGCGGCCCCCUGGAUCAAUACUGACGCUGAGGUACGAAAGCGUGGGGAGCGAACAGAAUUAGAAACCCCAGUAGUCC